UACGUAGGUGGCAAGCGUUGUCCGGAAUUACUGGGCGUAAAGGGCGUGUAGGCGGCCUUUUAAGUCAGACGUGAAAUCCAUGGGCUUAACCCAUGAAUUGCGUUUGAAACUGGAGGGCUUGAGGAUCGGAGAGGGCAGUGGAAUUCCCAGUGUAGCGGUGAAAUGCGUAGAUAUUGGGAGGAACACCAGUGGCGAAGGCGACUGCCUGGACGACACCUGACGCUGAGACACGAAAGCGUGGGUAGCAAACAGGA
This 254-nucleotide ribosomal RNA is filed under the name uncultured bacterium. RNAcentral's name for it is "partial 16S ribosomal RNA". It matches the Rfam family "Bacterial small subunit ribosomal RNA", at positions 524 to 777 of the family's 1533-position model. The record is from RNAcentral.